AUGAACGCUGGCGGCGUGCCUCAUACAUGCAAGUCGAGCGAACAGACGAGGAGCUUGCUCCUCUGACGUUAGCGGCGGACGGGUGAGUAACACGUGGAUAACCUACCUAUAAGACUGGGAUAACUUCGGGAAACCGGAGCUAAUACCGGAUAACAUGUUGAACCGCAUGGUUCAACAGUGAAAGACGGUCUUGCUGUCACUUAUAGAUGGAUCCGCGCCGCAUUAGCUAGUUGGUAAGGUAACGGCUUACCAAGGCAACGAUGCGUAGCCGACCUGAGAGGGUGAUCGGCCACACUGGAACUGAGACACGGUCCAGACUCCUAAGGGAGGCAGCAGUAGGGAAUCUUCCGCAAUGGGCGAAAGACUGACGGAGCAACGCCGCGUGAGUGAAGAAGGUCUUCGGAUCGUAAAACUCUGUUAUUAGGGAAGAACAAAUGUGUAAGUAACUAUGCACGUCUUGACGGUACCUAAUCAGAAAGCCACGGCUAACUACGUG
This 496-nucleotide ribosomal RNA is filed under the name uncultured bacterium. RNAcentral's name for it is "partial 16S ribosomal RNA". It matches the Rfam family "Bacterial small subunit ribosomal RNA", at positions 29 to 507 of the family's 1533-position model. The record is from RNAcentral.